ACGCUGGCGGCAUGCCUUACACAUGCAAGUCGAACGGCAGCACGGGAGCAAUCCUGGUGGCGAGUGGCGAACGGGUGAGUAAUAUAUCGGAACGUGCCCAGUCGUGGGGGAUAACGCAGCGAAAGCUGUGCUAAUACCGCAUACGAUCUAUGGAUGAAAGCGGGGGAUCGCAAGACCUCGCGCGAUUGGAGCGGCCGAUAUCAGAUUAGCUAGUUGGUGGGGUAAAAGCCCACCAAGGCGACGAUCUGUAGCUGGUCUGAGAGGACGACCAGCCACACUGGAACUGAGACACGGUCCAGACUCCUACGGGAGGCAGCAGUGGGGAAUUUUGGACAAUGGGCGCAAGCCUGAUCCAGCAAUGCCGCGUGCAGGAUGAAGGCCUUCGGGUUGUAAACUGCUUUUGUACGGAACGAAACGGUCUUCUCUAAUACAGAGGGCUAAUGACGGUACCGUAAGAAUAAGCACCGGCUAACUACGUGCCAGCAGCCGCGGUAAUACGUAGGGUGCGAGCGUUAAUCGGAAUUACUGGGCGUAAAGCGUGCGCAGGCGGUGAUGUAAGACAGAUGUGAAAUCCCCGGGCUCAACCUGGGACCUGCAUUUGUGACUGCAUCGCUGGAGUGCGGCAGAGGGGGAUGGAAUUCCGCGUGUAGCAGUGAAAUGCGUAGAUAUGCGGAGGAACACCGAUGGCGAAGGCAAUCCCCUGGGCCUGCACUGACGCUCAUGCACGAAAGCGUGGGGAGCAAACAGGAUUAGAUACCCUGGUAGUCCACGCCCUAAACGAUGUCAACUGGUUGUUGGGUCUUCACUGACUCAGUAACGAAGCUAACGCGUGAAGUUGACCGCCUGGGGAGUACGGCCGCAAGGUUGAAACUCAAGGGAAUUGACGGGGACCCGCACAAGCGGUGGAUGAUGUGGUUUAAUUCGAUGCUACGCGAAAAACCUUACCCACCUUUGACAUGUAUGGAAUCCUUUAGAGAUAGAGGAGUGCUCGAAAGAGAGCCAUAACACAGGUGCUGCAUGGCUGUCGUCAGCUCGUGUCGUGAGAUGUUGGGUUAAGUCCCGCAACGAGCGCAACCCUUGUCAUUAGUUGCUACAUUUAGUUGGGCACUCUAAUGAGACUGCCGGUGAUAAACCGGAGGAAGGUGGGGAUGACGUCAAGUCCUCAUGGCCCUUAUAGGUGGGGCUACACACGUCAUACAAUGGCUGGUACAAAGGGUUGCCAACCCGCGAGGGGGAGCUAAUCCCAUAAAACCAGUCGUAGUCCGGAUCGCAGUCUGCAACUCGACUGCGUGAAGUCGGAAUCGCUAGUAAUCGUGGAUCAGAAUGUCACGGUGAAUACGUUCGAAAG
Molecule: ribosomal RNA, 1348 nt
Filed under: metagenome
Description: bacterial SSU rRNA
Rfam family: Bacterial small subunit ribosomal RNA
Source: RNAcentral